This 441-nucleotide ribosomal RNA is filed under the name Novastoa caboverdensis. RNAcentral describes it as "partial 12S ribosomal RNA". It matches the Rfam family "Microsporidia small subunit ribosomal RNA", at positions 717 to 1311 of the family's 1311-position model. The record is from RNAcentral. Lineage: Eukaryota; Metazoa; Mollusca; Gastropoda; Littorinimorpha; Vermetidae.
CUUUGAGUGUAAAAAUUUAAAUACCAGAACACUACGAUUAUUGGUUUUAAAAUUCAAAAAGCUUGGCGGUGCUGUAGACUAGUUAGGGGAACUUGUUCCAUAAUCGAUAAUCCACGUAAAACCUUACCUAAAUUGGCGUAUCAGCUUAUAUACCGUCGUCGGCAGGCAACCCCUAAGGGUAACAACGGUUGGCGCUAGAAAAAAUAGUUUUUUACGUCAGAUCAAGGUGUAGUUUAUGUUUAGGAGAGGAUGAGUUACAAUUAUUAUUUAUAAUUACGGAUUUAUCUAGGAAUGAGGAUAAUGAAGGCGGACUUAAUAGUAAAGGGGGUUAUACAAACCGCUUGAACAAGGCUCUGAGGUGCGUACAUAUCGCCCGUCGCUCUCGCUGAAAAGCGAGAUAAGUCGUAACAUAGUAGGGGUACCGGAAGUUGUUCCUGGAAA